AACUUUUAGCAACGGAUCUCUUGGUUCUCCCAUCGAUGAAGAACGCAGCGAAAUGCGAUAAGUAAUGUGAAUUGCAGAAUUCAGUGAAUCAUCGAAUCUUUGAACGCACCUUGCGCUCGUGGGUAUUCCCACGAGCAUGCCUGUUUGAGUGUCAUGACUCCCUCGUCGUGCCGAGCGUUUGCGCUUGGUCAGCGGCGGAUGUGGGCGUCGCCCGAGAGUGAUCUUGGGCCCGCCUGAAAGAGAGUAGCGGAAGGGCACGUCGUCGCGUCAGCUCGGAAAAGCGCCACUGUUAUGAUUUUUAAUCAGUGGGUGCGAGGAAGAGCGUAUGGGGCGGGCGGCAAGCAUCUGCUUCGAACUUGCUUUGACAAAAGCCACUUUUUCUCAUCUGGCCUCAAAUCAGGUAGGACUACCCGCUGAACUUAAGCAUAUCAAUAAGCGGAGGCU
RNAcentral lists this unclassified non-coding RNA (444 nucleotides) under uncultured Basidiomycota. RNAcentral's name for it is "sequence contains ITS2". The stretch from base 1 to 154 matches the Rfam family "5.8S ribosomal RNA". Lineage: Eukaryota; Fungi; Basidiomycota. The record is from RNAcentral.